This 30-nucleotide non-coding RNA is filed under the name Rattus norvegicus (Norway rat). The record is from RNAcentral. Lineage: Eukaryota; Metazoa; Chordata; Mammalia; Rodentia; Muridae.
UUGGAUGCAAUAUGACACCACAGAGAGUUC